UGGGAAAUAUUGAGGUGCUCCCUUAUCAUCGCUAGACCUCAUCUCAUUGCCACCCCUCCUCCAUUCUUCGAUAUCAUGCCCACCUCCAGAUCUGAUCUAGAGAGAGAUUAGGGAGAGAGAAGAAGAAGGAAGAGAAAGAUUCUUGUUCUUCUUCUUGGCAUCCUAUUCAAAUCCCGUCAGAUCUGCAUGAAAGGGUUCGCACAGCCUUUAUCUUCUUCAAGAUCUAGAAGAAGAGAUUCAAAUCCAAGCUAAGGAGCGAGAUCUAUAAGGUGCUAGCACUCUGAUGGCCUCAGUACUUUGAUCAGGCCACCUCCAAAUGGAUACUAGCAGG
RNAcentral lists this long non-coding RNA (331 nucleotides) under Elaeis guineensis (African oil palm). Its description in RNAcentral is "long non-coding RNA (EGUI_LNC066238)". Lineage: Eukaryota; Viridiplantae; Streptophyta; Magnoliopsida; Arecales; Arecaceae. The record is from RNAcentral.